RNAcentral lists this ribosomal RNA (730 nucleotides) under uncultured bacterium. RNAcentral's name for it is "SSU rRNA". It matches the Rfam family "Bacterial small subunit ribosomal RNA", at positions 505 to 1235 of the family's 1533-position model. The record is from RNAcentral.
GUGCCAGCAGCCGCGGUAAUACGAAGGGACCUAGCGUAGUUCGGAAUUACUGGGCUUAAAGAGUUCGUAGGUGGUUGAAAAAGUUAGUGGUGAAAUCCCAGAGCUUAACUCUGGAACUGCCAUUAAAACUUUUCAGCUAGAGUAUGAUAGAGGAAAGCAGAAUUUCUAGUGUAGAGGUGAAAUUCGUAGAUAUUAGAAAGAAUACCAAUUGCGAAGGCAGCUUUCUGGAUCAUUACUGACACUGAGGAACGAAAGCAUGGGUAGCGAAGAGGAUUAGAUACCCUCGUAGUCCAUGCCGUAAACGAUGUGUGUUAGACGUUGGAAAUUUAUUUUCAGUGUCGCAGGGAAACCGAUAAACACACCGCCUGGGGAGUACGACCGCAAGGUUAAAACUCAAAUGAAUUGACGGGGACCCGCACAAGUAGUGGAGCAUGUGGUUUAAUUCGAAGAUACGCGCAGAACCUUACCAACACUUGACAUGUUCGUCGCGACUUUAAGAGAUUAGAGUUUUCGGUUCGGCCGGACGAAACACAGGUGCUGCAUGGCUGUCGUCAGCUCGUGUCGUGAGAUGUUGGGUUAAGUCCCGCAACGAGCGCAACCCUCACUUUUAGUUGCCAUCAUUAAGUUGGGCACUCUGAAAGAACUGCCAGUGAUAAGCUGGAGGAAGGUGGGGAUGACGUCAAGUCCUCAUGGCCCUUACGUGUUGGGCUACACACGUGCUACAAUGGUA